Molecule: long non-coding RNA, 1212 nt
Filed under: Taeniopygia guttata (zebra finch)
Lineage: Eukaryota; Metazoa; Chordata; Aves; Passeriformes; Estrildidae
Description: lncRNA (ENSTGUG00000026695.1)
Source: RNAcentral
CUCCAGAGCGGGUGCUCCAGCAGUUCGGUGCUGGGCCGGGCGCUGUGCACAGCAGCAGCAGUUGGGUGUGCACAGCAGCAAUUCGGUGUGCACAGCAGCAGUUGGGUGUGCACAGCAGCAGUUCGGUGUGCACAGCAGCAGCAGUUGGGUGUGCACAGCAGCAGUUGGGUGCGCAUAGCAGCAGUUCGGUGUGCACAGCAGCAGCAGUUGGGUGUGCACAGCAGCAGUUGGGUGUGCACAGCAGCAGUUGGGUGUGCACAGCAGCAAUUCGGUGUGCACAGCAGCAGUUGGGUGUGCACAGCAGCAGCAGUUGGGUGUGCACAGCAGCAGUUGGGUGUGCACAGCAGCAGCAGUUGGGUGUGCACAGCAGCAGCAGUUGGGUGUGCACAGCAGCAGUUGGGUGUGCACAGCAGCAGUUGGGUGUGCACAGCAGUUCGGUGUGCACAGCAGCAGCAGUUGGGUGUGCACAGCAGCAGUUGGGUGUGCACAGCAGCAGCUGGGUGUGCACAGCAGCAGCUGAGUGUGCACAGCAGCAGUUGGGUGUGCACAGCAGCAGUUCGGUGUGCACAGCAGCAGUUGGGUGUGCACAGCAGCAGUCCGGCCUCCACUCCAGCAGCCCGGCGCCGGGCCGGCGCUGUCCGCAGCAGCAGUUCGGUGUGCACAGCAGCAGUUCGGUGUGCACAGCAGCAGUUCGGUGUGCACAGCAGCAGUUCGGUGUGCACAGCAGCAGUUCGGUGUGCACAGCAGCAGUUCGGUGUGCACAGCAGCAGUAGUUCGGUUGCACAGCAGCAGUCCGGCCUCCACUCCAGCAGCCCGGCGCCGGGCCGGCGCUGUCCGCAGCAGUUGUUCGGUGUGCACAGCAGCAGUUCGGUGUGCACAGCAGCAGCAGUUCGGUGUGCACAGCAGCAGUUCGGUAUCCGCAGCAGCAGUUCGGUGUGCACAGCAGCAGUCCGGUCCCCGCUCCAGCAGCCCGGUGCCGGGCCGGCGCUGUCGGGCCGGGCGGGCCCAGCGCGGCCCGCGGGGACAGGAGGUGGCGCCGCCGGCCCGCGCCUGCCCGGGGAGAGCCGGGCCCGGCCUGAGGGCGCCGCCGCGCUCGGGGUUUGGCGUCCCGGUGCUCCCUUGUGUCACGGCUGCUGCGGUAGGCUCCGUUUGCCUCUCGGCUCGGGGACCGUGCUCUGGUUUGCUGAUAGUUUGUGUUUGAUAGGUACAUGA